RNAcentral lists this unclassified non-coding RNA (239 nucleotides) under uncultured Trichosporiella. Its description in RNAcentral is "partial contains 5.8S ribosomal RNA, internal transcribed spacer 2, and large subunit ribosomal RNA". Lineage: Eukaryota; Fungi; Ascomycota; Leotiomycetes; Helotiales; Dermateaceae. The record is from RNAcentral.
AACGCACAUUGCGCCCCUUGGUAUUCCGAGGGGCAUGCCUAUUCGAGCGUCAUUAUCACCCCUCAAGCCUAGCUUGGUGUUGAGGCCUGCCGUCAAGGCAGCCUCUAAAAUCAGUGGCAGUGCUGUCAGGCUCUAAGCGUAGUAAAUCUCUCGCUAUAGGGACUUGGUGGACACUUGCCAGAACCCCCCAUUUUUUAAUGAUUGACCUCGGAUUAGGUAGGGAUACCCGCUGAACUUAA